CAGUAGCCGCGGUAAUACGGAGGGUGCAAGCGUUACUCGGAAUCACUGGGCGUAAAGCGUGCGCAGGCGGUUUGUUAAGACAGAUGUGAAAUCCCCGGGCUCAACCUGGGAACUGCAUUUGUGACUGGCAAGCUAGAGUGUGGCAGAGGGGGGUGGAAUUCCGCGUGUAGCAGUGAAAUGCGUAGAUAUGCGGAGGAACACCGAUGGCGAAGGCAGCCCCCUGGGCCAACACUGACGCUCAUGCACGAAAGCGUGGGGAGCAAACAGGAUUAGAUACCCCAGUAGUCCCUGUCUCUUAUAC
This 301-nucleotide ribosomal RNA is filed under the name uncultured bacterium. RNAcentral describes it as "partial 16S ribosomal RNA". It matches the Rfam family "Bacterial small subunit ribosomal RNA", at positions 509 to 807 of the family's 1533-position model. The record is from RNAcentral.